This is a non-coding RNA of Pelobates cultripes (western spadefoot toad), 236 nucleotides long. The record is from the annotation of a GenBank genome assembly. NCBI's taxonomy places the organism in Eukaryota, Metazoa, Chordata, Amphibia, Anura, Pelobatidae.
AUUUCAGGUAGGAACGGCUGUUCUUAUAAUGAUUAUCAUUUUCUUAUUCCUAACCUGUUGUGUGCUCCCUUGCAUACAAAAGUACUUACAAAAAGCAGUAGGAAAGACUAUAGAUGACGUGACUCCUACUUUCCUACAUCAAGAUACCACAGACCUCGAAAGUGACACCCCACACACACCCCUCCAAUCACAUCAGUUCAAACAGACAACUGCAUUCCUGUAGGGACAGUGUAGGG